This 69-nucleotide transfer RNA is filed under the name Chiroderma salvini (Salvin's big-eyed bat). Its description in RNAcentral is "tRNA-Ala". It matches the Rfam family "tRNA". From Rfam's summary of the family: Transfer RNA (tRNA) molecules are approximately 80 nucleotides in length. Their secondary structure includes four short double-helical elements and three loops (D, anti-codon, and T loops). Further hydrogen bonds mediate the characteristic L-shaped molecular structure. tRNAs have two regions of fundamental functional importance: the anti-codon, which is responsible for specific mRNA codon recognition, and the 3' end, to which the tRNAs corresponding amino acid is attached (by aminoacyl-tRNA synthetases). tRNAs cope with the degeneracy of the genetic code in two manners: having more than one tRNA (with a specific anti-codon) for a particular amino acid; and 'wobble' base-pairing, i.e. permitting non-standard base-pairing at the 3rd anti-codon position. Lineage: Eukaryota; Metazoa; Chordata; Mammalia; Chiroptera; Phyllostomidae. The record is from RNAcentral.
AAGGGCUUAGCUUAAUUAAAGUAGUUGAUUUGCAUUCAGCGGAUGUAAGAUAGAGUCUUGCAGUCCUUA